RNAcentral lists this long non-coding RNA (670 nucleotides) under Gouania willdenowi (blunt-snouted clingfish). RNAcentral's name for it is "lncRNA (ENSGWIG00000024550.1)". Lineage: Eukaryota; Metazoa; Chordata; Actinopteri; Blenniiformes; Gobiesocidae. The record is from RNAcentral.
UGUUCUCCCACUGGCCGUCAUCAUGUCCACUACAGUGAUGAUCUUCAUCACUUCAGUGAUUGGUGUCAUUUACUGCAGACUUAAAGCAAAGCGUCAAGACAAACAUGGAGAUACUCUGAGUGAAUCACUGAGACGAGAUGGUCCAGAAACAAGUGCAGGGGUCGUCUACACAACGGUGGAUUUCAAAGCACGUCCGAAACAACCAGAGGAAAUGUAUGCAAACCUGAGGACGCACAAGGGACACAGUGAAGCUGAGACAACUGGGAUGGUGGAAUACUCCACACUGGCCCUCCAGUGAAUUCAGGUUUUAGAUUUAAACAAAGACCAGUUUAAACAGGCUUGAUUAAAUCAUCCUAAGUGGUCAGCACCAUCUCAUGAGCUGAUUUUAUGAUAUGAUAAUCAUUUUUUGAAGCCGUACUUUGCGGAUGCUGAUUAACUUUGUCCCCGAUUCACCCAAGCAAUUUAUAGCUGCUUCCAUCAUAUGUCUAUACCAAAUGCUUUUUUUUUUUUUUAAUAUUCAGACGAUCUAGAGAUAAAACAACCUGUCUCGAUAUAAAGUAUAAACAAAGAUUUAUAUUAAACACUGCAACCGCUUCAGGACAAGUUUGGAUCUGUUUCUGUGAUUGUGGGAUUUGCAAACAGAAAUAAACGUAAGCAAUAUUAGCUCUCA